RNAcentral lists this ribosomal RNA (253 nucleotides) under uncultured bacterium. RNAcentral's name for it is "partial 16S ribosomal RNA". It matches the Rfam family "Bacterial small subunit ribosomal RNA", at positions 524 to 776 of the family's 1533-position model. The record is from RNAcentral.
UACGUAGGGUGCGAGCGUUGUCCGGAAUUAUUGGGCGUAAAGGGCUCGUAGGCGGUUUGUCGCGUCGGGAGUGAAAACACCGGGCUUAACUCGGUGCUUGCUUUCGAUACGGGCAGACUAGAGGCAUGCAGGGGAGAACGGAAUUCCUGGUGUAGCGGUGAAAUGCGCAGAUAUCAGGAGGAACACCGGUGGCGAAGGCGGGUCUCUGGGCAGUAACUGACGCUGAGGCACGAAAGCCAGGGGAGCGAACAGG